CCUACGGGAGGCUGCAGUGAGGAAUAUUGGUCAAUGGGCGGGAGCCUGAACCAGCCAAGUCGCGUGAGGGAAGACGGUCCUAUGGAUUGUACACCUCUUUAGGCGGGGAGCAAUGCCGGGCACGCGUGCCCGGAGGGAGAGUACCCGCAGAAUAAGCAUCGGCUAACUCCGUGCCAGCAGCCGCGGUAAUACGGAGGAUGCGAGCGUUAUCCGGAGUUAUUGGGUUUAAAGGGUGCGUAGGCGGAUUUUUAAGUCAGCGGUAAAAUGUCCGGGCUCAACCCGGGCCGGCCGUUGAAACUGGGGAUCUUGAGUGGGCGAGAAGUAUGCGGAAUGCGUGGUGUAGCGGUGAAAUGCAUAGAUAUCACGCAGAACUCCGAUUGCGAAGGCAGCAUACCGGCGCCCGACUGACGCUGAGGCACGAAAGCGUGGGGAUCGAACAGGAUUAGAUACCCCAGUAGUC
RNAcentral lists this ribosomal RNA (460 nucleotides) under uncultured bacterium. Its description in RNAcentral is "partial 16S ribosomal RNA". It matches the Rfam family "Bacterial small subunit ribosomal RNA", at positions 338 to 795 of the family's 1533-position model. The record is from RNAcentral.